GGGCCAGUAGCUCAGUUGGUAGAGCAUCUGAAUGGCAUUCAGAAGGUCUGGGGUUCGACUCCCCACUGGUCCACCA
This 76-nucleotide transfer RNA is filed under the name Planctomycetota bacterium. RNAcentral's name for it is "Planctomycetes bacterium (activated sludge metagenome) tRNA-Ala". It matches the Rfam family "tRNA". Rfam says of the family: Transfer RNA (tRNA) molecules are approximately 80 nucleotides in length. The record is from RNAcentral. Lineage: Bacteria; Pseudomonadati; Planctomycetota.